This 668-nucleotide long non-coding RNA is filed under the name Ananas comosus (pineapple). Its description in RNAcentral is "long non-coding RNA (ACOM_LNC011640)". The record is from RNAcentral. Lineage: Eukaryota; Viridiplantae; Streptophyta; Magnoliopsida; Poales; Bromeliaceae.
AAAAGGAAAUAGUUUGGCACUAAAUGAAUUUUUUUUUUAAAAAAAUUUAUAUUAUAAAUUCGAGAAUGAAUGGUAUAAGAUCUACACUGUUUUUGGAAUAUAUAAAUAGAAUUUCUCUUUUUGCAAAUUGUUUACAUAUUCAUAAAAUGCAUGGGUGUGUAAUUUAUAAGCAUGUAUUAUUUAAGAAUUGAAUGAAAUUUACGAAGCUUAUAUAUUUAUGCAUCUAAAAAAAGAAAAAUUUAAAAGAAGUUGACUUGAAAAAAUAUUGGUAAAAACCUAUAGAAGUUAUCUGAAUUAACUAACUGUUUCUAGAGCAAGUGGUAAAGGGCUUGAUGGUUGGUACCGAGGUUCUAAGUUCGAAUUUUAGUUGAUUUAUAUUUUCAGCUAAGUUUAUUUUCUAAAUUAAAUAAACGAAGCGGGUAGCGUACUACAUAUCUCUCUCUAAAAAAGAAAAAAAGUUAUCUGAAUUAUGGAUCAUUUAAAUCGCGGCGACUAUUCAAUCUUUCAAUUUGUUUAAAUUGAGUCGGUCAACGGUACUCUAACUUUAAUUUUUAAAAUUAAAAUGUCAUUUUCUGACUCAAAUAAAAAGAUUAAAAAUUUUGAUCGCAAAAUUAAAAUAGUUUACGGUUCAAAUAAGUUAUGUAUAUUUUCAUUAAAGAUAUAUAUAU